Molecule: non-coding RNA, 1119 nt
Organism: Malus domestica (apple)
Lineage: Eukaryota; Viridiplantae; Streptophyta; Magnoliopsida; Rosales; Rosaceae
Source: RefSeq, a predicted model, not a curated record
UGAACCUCUACUUCGACUGCAGCUUCUCGAAUUUUCCAUCCGUUUCCAGUUCUCUCUUUCGCAAAUCUCUGCUUCCGUUGCUCACAACUUGCCUUCUAUCACUCUCAAACGCCGGUUUGUACUCGGCAAAGUCUGUGAAGGACCAAUAAAUGGAUUCGAAGAUGAACCAAGUCAAGGGACACGGAGCUCAGAAUAUCAGAGAUUUCUCAAGAGGGUUUUGCCUUUCUGAAGAGUUACUUUCAAGGAUAAAAAUGAGUGUUCCAAAGAAAGCUAGGAGUUCCAGUGAUGAAAUUGAACUUAUCUUCUUGGGAUUGAGUUGCUUUUGCGACGGAGACAUUUCAGAAGAGAAUGAGACUUUCCAUGUCUGGAGUACUUUCUCUGCAUGCUUAGGGUAAAUUGUUUGCCUAUUCUGGGAGCAGCUAUCCCGAGGUUGAUUGAUAGGGUGAAUAUUGAAUCUAUCGACAUUAAAAGGACUUGGCAGGGUCUUUGAUUGGUGGUGACCCAGAGCAACAAUUUGCAAUGUGCUGUGAAUGUUUGCAGAUGUGCUUCAACGUUGAGGUCAAUUAAUUUCUAAACUCAUGAUUACAUUGACUAGCCUAAUACCUAGGUAUAAUGCGAAAGAGUGAAGCCUUAACCACACAUGUGCAUAAGAGUGAAGCAAUUGCUGACAUUGUUGUAAACUUUGCUUCUUCCUUUAUUCUUUCAACGUUGAGGAUUAUUUGAUUGUUUUUAUACAAUCGAAAGUUGGUCAUGAAACAUGAGUGAUACGUUUCUAUACAAGUUUCGGUGGGGCACCCCAUAGAAAACAAAUUUUCUGUUUGUGUAGCAAUGUAGUUGAAAGCUACCAUAUUUUCUGUUUAUGUUGAGCAAAACUAUGAUCAACAUCAAAACAAAUCAUCCAUCGUGUCCUUAUUUGUUAUGGUACUUUUUUUACAGUUUCAUAGAGAGCAAAUUGAUCGCUUUCACUUUUGGAAGCAACUAAACUCUUACCAAAUCAAAAUCUCUUUUUCAAGUUUUAAUAUUUCACUUUAGUUUUUUGUUUUUGCCUUUUUUAAUGGGUAGUAUUGUUAUUUGGAGACAUGCUACAUGAAAGCAUUUAUACAUUGUUGUACUAACAAA